Long non-coding RNA from Pipistrellus kuhlii (Kuhl's pipistrelle), 654 nucleotides. RefSeq lists it as uncharacterized. The transcript has 3 exons. The record is from RefSeq and is a predicted model, not a curated record. Lineage: Eukaryota; Metazoa; Chordata; Mammalia; Chiroptera; Vespertilionidae.
GGAACCUGCACGGGGCGGGAGGCGCCUGGGUCCUCCUGGCCACUCCCACCCAGACCUGUGGCCUGGAAACAGCCCUGGACGCAGUCCCCACCCCAGCCUGGCUGCUCCUACGGGGCCCUCCCGCACCCUGUCUGCGGCCCCGGGGCCCCGGGCGUUCGGGGGGGUCUGAGGCACCCUCACCUCUCAAACUUCUCGCUGUUGUUGGUCUUGCCCUGCUGGAUCACGUGCACAAAGUCAUAGGACGUCCAUGAGCUGGAUCAUCUGCAGCGUCAGCAUGUCCUGGCGGAGGUCUGUGCCGCGGCCCCGGGGGAAAGAGCAGAGUUUCUGGAGGGUUCCGCACGCCCAGCAGGCCUGGGCCCCGCUCCGGACGUGUCCCUGGCUCACCCUCCGGACCCGGGGCAGUGGGGGCCCGGCCGCUCACCGUCCCCGUUCUUGAAGAUGAUGCCCACGCUGCCGUCACCGCCCGCCUCCUCGUUGCUGUACACGACCCACAGCGGCUUCAUCUUGGAGUCCAUGAAGGAUGCUGGGGUCCAGCGGGGACUGCAGGUGGGACAGCGCCUCCAGGUAGGUCUCCUGGCGCAUGCACAGGUGCAUCAGCUCCUUGGUCUGCGGCUUGGGGCUCUUCUGCGAGCUCACCUUGACAAAGUCGUUCAG